Papaver somniferum (opium poppy) is the source of this 1767-nucleotide long non-coding RNA. RefSeq lists it as uncharacterized. The transcript has 4 exons. The record is from RefSeq and is a predicted model, not a curated record. Lineage: Eukaryota; Viridiplantae; Streptophyta; Magnoliopsida; Ranunculales; Papaveraceae.
UUUCCCGAAAUUCAUUGUAUAGGGAAUAUCAGUAACGAUUUUUUUUCUUUUGUGUUGAUUUUAGUUUUUUAUUGCGGUUUGAUAUUACGAUUUGCAUUGAAGACAAGAGUAACUGAAAUUGAAGUUCGGGUUUGAAGGAAUCAAGCCGAACGAAACAUAGGUUAGGGUUUCUCUGCUUUGUUUCGAUUUUUGAAACUCUAAUCUCUUGAUUUAUGAUCAUACGGGCAUGGUUAGGGAUUUAUUUUCUCAGGUACAGUUUUUGCAAAAUUGAAGUUAGGGUUUGAAGGAAAGGGUUUACUGUGUUUGAAUUUGGUAGCGAGUUAGGUUGAUGUUUACAUGUUUUUACUAAUCUGUGGAGCUAUCACUGCAGUGCUUUGCAGCAUUGGUAAAGUUUUGGCUGAUACUUGAUAAAUGGGCACCUUCAAUUAGCACUUGAAAAUUUCCCAAGGAUUUUAUAUAGUAAUCGUUUUGCUUGGAAACACUGGUAAAAUCCUAUUGAUAAUCUUACAUUUGUUCUUUGUUCUUUGUUGCGAAAUAUAACUUCUUUGCCAAUUAAGCUCAUUCAACUUUUUCAAAAUAGGAUAAAGCUGAUGAAUGUAUUAAGAAAAUUUUGAAUUGAAUUCAGAGUUUUCCUUAUCUCAUAUCCUUGGAUGCAUAAUGUCCAUCUUUCAGAUAUCUGCGAAGGUGAGAAGGGACACUAAUUGUUUCGAAGACUCAAGAAAAACUAUUAUUCAGGCAUCUAUAUUUUCUUCUUUAAUUAUGUUCAUUAAUUAUGCUUAUUUUAGGUACCUAAUGGUCUUGAGUUGCAUCAGGGCAUUGGAACAAUGGUGCUUUACAAGAAGGAAACAACAAUCAAUGCCUAACAGAAUCUCCUUUCAUGCCGAAUGUAGAAGAUUUUGAAGAUGUCCAGUUUGAUCUGGAAUUAGUUCACUUUAUUUAGCUACUUCUGAUGAUAUCCUUUAUUCAGGUACUGCAAACUUAUUAUGCCAUCAUAUUUUAUUAUACCGCAGGAAGAUCAGGAGAUGUUUUUUAUGCGAAUUGAGACGAAGUAGUGGUUGGUGCUAUAGCAGUUGUGUCAACUAUUGGAGGUUUUGGAAGUUAUGAGCAAAUGAAAAAUAUAAAUGGUGAGGCGAACGUUUUGGCAGUAGAUGCUGCAAAGGAGUAUGGAAUUCCCAAGUUUGUGCUGAUCUCUGUACAUGACUACAAUCUCCCGCCUUUCUACGGUCUUCUGGAUACUUCACUGGAAAGAGAAGCAAAAUCAGAGGUUCUGUCGAAAUUCCCAAACAACCGUAAUCAAUAAUAUAAACACGCCGUUAUGUGAGUUUGUACAUAAGGGAAUUCCUUCCAUUACAAACUUAUUUUUAGUAUGUACAUUUUGGCGACACCAAAAUUUUCAUUUUCUUGAAACUUCACUUACUAUUAUUAUUACUGUUCACAUUUCUUCUUGCGAACCAUUUUUUUUUUACAAAUGUACAAUUCUGCUCAUACCUGUAGCUCUUCAUGCAAAUCUUUUGGCUUAACAAAGUUUCUCAGGUAUUGUACUAAGACCGGGUUUCAUUUAUGGGAAGCGGAAGGUAGAUGGUUUUGUGAAGUACUUCCAUGCACCGACCGUUAUUUAAGUUGUAACUUUAAUGUUCUGGGUGGUACAUAAGCCAUUUUGCAGCUUAUGUAUCCUUACAUAUUCUGCAGCAUCCUCACGGGGAUAUUUAGUUUACAUGUGGAUCAUUAUUACAUAAGGUGUUUCGACACAAUUUCUUUCGAAACUCC